AUGCUUUACACAUGCAAGUCGAACGGCAGCACGGGAGCUUGCUCCUGGUGGCGAGUGGCGAACGGGUGAGUAAUGCGUCGGAACGUACCGAGUAAUGGGGGAUAACGCAGCGAAAGUUGUGCUAAUACCGCAUACGCCCUGAGGGGGAAAGCGGGGGAUCGUAAGACCUCGCGUUAUUCGAGCGGCCGACGUCUGAUUAGCUAGUUGGUGGGGUAAAGGCCUACCAAGGCGACGAUCAGUAGCGGGUCUGAGAGGAUGAUCGGCCACACUGGAACUGAGACACGGUCCAGACUCCUACGGGAGGCAGCAGUGGGGAAUUUUGCGCAAUGGGCGAGAGCCUGACGCAGCAACGCCGCGUGGAGGAUGAAGGUCUUUGGAUUGUAAACUCCUGUCAGCGGGGAAAAAGGGAUUCGGCCUAAUACGCCGGAAACUUGAUUGUACCCGCAGAGGAAGCCCCGGCUAACUCUGUGCCAGCAGCCGCGGUAAUACAGAGGGGGCGAGCGUUAUUCGGAAUUAUUGGGCGUAAAGGGCGCGUAGGCGGCUUUUCAAGUGACGGGUGAAAUCCCUCGGCUUAACCGAGGAACUGCCUGUCAGACUGGAGGGCUUGAGACCGGGAGAGGUGAGUGGAAUUCCCAGUGUAGCGGUGAAAUGCGUAGAUAUUGGGAGGAACACCAGUGGCGAAGGCGGCUCACUGGACCGGUACUGACGCUGAGGCGCGAAAGCGUGGGGAGCAAACAGGAUUAGAUACCCUGGUAGUCCACGCCGUAAACGAUGAGUGCUUGGUGUAGCGGGUAUCGACCCCUGCCGUGCCGAAGUCAACACAUUAAGCACUCCGCCUGGGGAGUACGGUCGCAAGACUGAAACUCAAAGGAAUUGACGG
Molecule: ribosomal RNA, 880 nt
Filed under: uncultured bacterium
Lineage: Bacteria
Description: bacterial SSU rRNA
Rfam family: Bacterial small subunit ribosomal RNA
Source: RNAcentral